Molecule: ribosomal RNA, 253 nt
Filed under: uncultured bacterium
Lineage: Bacteria
Description: partial 16S ribosomal RNA
Rfam family: Bacterial small subunit ribosomal RNA
Source: RNAcentral
UACAGAGGGUGCGAGCGUUAAUCGGAAUUACUGGGCGUAAAGCGCGCGUAGACGGUUUUGUAAGUCAGAUGUGAAAUCCCUGGGCUCAACCUGGGAACUGCAUUUGAGACUGCAUGGCUAGAGUAUCGAAGAGGGAAGUGGAAUUUCCGGUGUAGCGGUGAAAUGCGUAGAUAUCGGGAGGAACACCUGUGGCGAAAGCGGCGCACUGGACCACAACUGACGCUGAGGCGCGAAAGCUAGGGGAGCAAACAGG